Heterocephalus glaber (naked mole-rat) is the source of this 1941-nucleotide long non-coding RNA. RefSeq lists it as uncharacterized. The record is from RefSeq and is a predicted model, not a curated record. NCBI's taxonomy places the organism in Eukaryota, Metazoa, Chordata, Mammalia, Rodentia, Bathyergidae.
CGCCCCCUUGCCCACGUGAUUCGCGGUCCUCCCUCCUAGAGGUGAAGUCUGUUUCCUUCACCCACUCAAACUUGGAUUGGGCCACGUGACUUUCUUUGCCCAGCGGAAUGCUAAAAAUGGUGCCUGUCUCGGUCACUUUUCCCCUGGCGGGCAAAAUACCAAACACUUGAAAUUUUAAGGAAGAGAGGUUUAUUUUGGCCCAGGUUCUGUCCAGGGCCUGUUGUCUCCAAAGAAGGAGCAGCAAGGCGCAGAGGUGUGGUGGAGGAAAGCUGCUUGCUGGGUGUGGGGUGGACAGAAAGCAGAGUCCAGGGAGCAGCCGGGAGGGAACUAAACCACUCCCCACUCCCGUGAGCCGCCUGUUGCCAUCAGCAGCCAGCUGUGGAAGCGCGCUCUCUUGCUGCUGAGACUCUGUUCUCCACCUUGUAAACCAAGCCCAACUCGGCCUCCUGAAGGGGGAAAGAACAUGAAGAUACUGAUUGUUCUGAAUCUCGCGUCAUCAGUUCACAAGACACCUGUGGUCUAUUGCCCAGCAAACCUCCAUCCCCGUUCUUCUCCAGAGAGCUCGUCACUCACAUCCACAGUGUUCUGAGAGAAGCCCUCUGCACAACCCAGCCCUACACCCUGGCCACAGUGUGCCCUGGUGGAGGGCAUCUGACUCAGGGGAACAGAGGCCUCAAUCUGCAGUCAAAGAAAAGAAAGAUGCUCAGAAAGGAACAGAGAAGAGAUGCAGACCAUAACAAAGACAACUGCUGUCUCAGCUGCUGCUGGCUACCAUCUCACCACCGUGAAAAACAGCAAGCCUGGGGACAAAAGCUGAGAUGAUGAGGAGGACAAAGCCAGGAGAAAGAGAAAAGGAGCCAGCACCCCCUCCACUGUCCCAUGGCCUUGCUGUAUGGGCUGGGUCUUUUCCUGUGUGAGAUAAGAUAGUAAAUUCCCCAACUGUUUCAGUCACUUUGAGGGUCUCCCUUUUUUUUCACAUGCAACCCAGACUCCUCAUCUUCAUCAUCAAACAUUUAGUUCAUAUCUCUUUUAUUAAGGUUUUUAAACUUUAAUUGAAAUGCUCAAUUUUAGAAUAUCUGACUCUUUUAAAAUUCUGUCUUUUUAAAAUAAUAUCCUACUCUUGCCUCAUGGAUUCUUUCAUUUCUGUCCUUGAAUAUUAAUGUGGGUUGUGAGCACAAUAAUAAUCUUUGGUUUGUUAUUGUUGUUGUUUUUGUUGUUUGUUUUCUGAGACAGGGUCUCCCUAUGUAGUUCAACCUGGCCUUGAGCUCUUGAACUUGCAGUGAUCCUCCUGUCUCAGCCUCCUGAGUGCUAGGAUUACAGGUAUGUGCCACCAUGCCCAGCUCAAUAAUAAUCUUAAAUAGCAACAGCAUAGAAAAAAGAAUAUACCUCAAGUAUGUUUGUUGACAAUUUAAACUAUCAUGAACUAAAGUGCAGUUGAUUUUUUCUUUUGCUACCCAGCCACACCCUUCCUAUUUGGGCAAGAUCUUCCAUUGACUGCCUUGGUGAGAGUCAUAUUCCAGCUUUCUACUAUGAAAACCUCAAGUUUACACAUUCUACCCUCCCCUCUGUGUCAGGCAACAGAUGGAGAGGAAUACAAUGUAGGCUUAGCUAAUCAGGUUCUCUCACAGGAACUGGAAAUCACUUUUUAUUAUUAUUGUUUUGUAUUUUGAGGCAGGGUCUUGCUAUGUAACCCAGAGUGGCUUCAAACUCUCAAUUUUGCCUCAGCCUCCCGAGUGCUAUUACAGGCAUGCCCCGUCUAACCCCCUUGGGAACUUCAGAUCUUGAGUGAGCGAUGACCCAAGGACAGUUGGAAUCUUCUUUCUUUUUUUUUUUUGGUAUCGGGGAUCGAACUCGGGUCCUUGCACUUGUGAGGCAGGCAGAGGAACCACUGAGCUAAAUCCCUAGCCCCUUUCUUUCUUUCUAACAGUAUUGGUGAUUGAA